GUCUUUCUAGUAUAUUUAAGUACAGCUGACUUCCAAUCAGCUAGUCUGAGCCCCCUCAGGAUAGACA
This 67-nucleotide transfer RNA is filed under the name Alpheus distinguendus. RNAcentral describes it as "tRNA-Gly". Lineage: Eukaryota; Metazoa; Arthropoda; Malacostraca; Decapoda; Alpheidae. The record is from RNAcentral.